Molecule: transfer RNA, 71 nt
Filed under: Loxodonta africana (African savanna elephant)
Lineage: Eukaryota; Metazoa; Chordata; Mammalia; Proboscidea; Elephantidae
Rfam family: tRNA
About the family: Transfer RNA (tRNA) molecules are approximately 80 nucleotides in length. Their secondary structure includes four short double-helical elements and three loops (D, anti-codon, and T loops).
Source: Rfam by way of RNAcentral
GCAGUGGUGGUUCAGUGGUGGAAUCCUCACCUUCCAUGCAAGAGACCUGGGUUCGAUUCCCAGCCAAUGCA